Molecule: ribosomal RNA, 488 nt
Filed under: uncultured bacterium
Lineage: Bacteria
Description: partial 16S ribosomal RNA
Rfam family: Bacterial small subunit ribosomal RNA
Source: RNAcentral
GAUGAACGCUAGCGGGAGGCCUAACACAUGCAAGCCGAGCGGGAUUUGUUGGUUAGCUUGCUAACUAACAAUGAGAGCGGCGUACGGGUGCGUAGCACGUGUGCAACCUGCCUUUAUCUGGGGGAUAGCCUUUCGAAAGGAAGAUUAAUACCCCAUAACAUAUUGAUUGGCAUCAGUUAAUAUUGAAAGCUCCGGCGGAUAGAGAUGGGCACGCGUAAGAUUAGCUAGUUGGUGAGGUAACGGCUCACCAAGGCUGCGAUCUUUAGGGGGCCUGAGAGGGUGAUCCCCCACACUGGUACUGAGACACGGACCAGACUCCUACGGGAGGCAGCAGUGAGGAAUAUUGGACAAUGGGUGAGAGCCUGAUCCAGCCAUCCCGCGUGAAGGACUAAGGACCUAUGGUUUGUAAACUUCUUUUAUACAGGGAUAAACCUACUCUCGUGAGGGUAGCGGAAGGUACUGUAUGAAUAAGCACCGGCUAACUCCGU